AUGAUGGAAUCAAUGCAAAGAGAAACAAAUGAAAAGCAAGAACAAGGCUCAGAGAAACUAAGAGACACUCCACGGCCCUGCAGCUGGCAAAGGAAGAGACAGCAGAAUAUUGAAACAGCUCCCCGGACAUUCCAGGGUCUAGGAGGCACUGCAGACUGUGUGCAGAGGCAGCUGAUUCACCUCUUGUGUUGUUAGGAUGGUGAACUUGGACAGUUUCAUAGGCAACGGAGAACCCCAGGACCCAGACGUGAUUUCUGACAUUCCAGAGGGAGGGAAGAACGGCUGGCAUCUGCACAGUUCCAAGGACACGCUGCCCUGUUGCUCUUUCCGACUUCCUGGUGCACACUCCAUGGCUGAGCUUAACUUCAGCCACUUUUAAGGGUUGCAUGAAGCAGGUAGGCCCAGGGCGAGCCUUGCCUAGACUGGCUCAGACCUCUGCACCCUCGCAAGCACUGAAUGCCUGCAGCCCCCCAGUUCCCGGGUGAAGUCCUGGUCAACUGCCAGCAGCCAGUGGAGACUACAGUUUCUCCAGCAGGCCUUCCUGACCUCCCAUCCCUUGGGUAGCUGCCUCCAGUCCCCUCACGGGUUUACCCCCUCUGUUGUGGUACUAACACUGAGAGUUGAAGCUCCUUGGCAGGGUCUUUGCUGACUGCUCUGUGUCCUCAACCAGACACUGGGUUCUCUGAGAGCAGGGACUUUGGCUGUCUUGCUCACUCUCAUAUCCUCAGCACACAGGACCUUUCUGGCAGGCAGAAGGCACUCAGUAAAUGUUUGCUCAAGUGCCGGAUGAAGACGUGAGUGAGUGAAUGAAUGAAUGAAUGGAUGGCAUCCACAGGUCAUAUUCUGUGUAUGAUGAGGCACGUAGAGUUUCUAGGAAACCUGAAACUCCUACAGUGAGCCGUUCUAGUAUUUUACUAUAUUGUCUCUAGAAGGCUCCCUUUAAAAAUUACAUCGAACACCUAUUCUUAUUCAUCAGUACCUUAGCAUGAAUGAGUUUGCAGGAUUAUAAGGUACCUGAGGAAAUAGACUGGGCUUGGUACUAUUCUGGGGUGAAAGGGUAUAAGUGUGAGGCAGUGAGUGAAUAAGAAAGACCUGGAGUGAGGCUGUAAGGGUACUAUUCAAGCAGGUCCCUGAACUGAGGGGCUCUUUAUGGGCAUGACACCUAGGAGAGCGUCCUUGAGAGGGACAGGCACUG
This 1195-nucleotide long non-coding RNA is filed under the name Felis catus (domestic cat). Its description in RNAcentral is "lncRNA (ENSFCAG00000051805.1)". Lineage: Eukaryota; Metazoa; Chordata; Mammalia; Carnivora; Felidae. The record is from RNAcentral.